Molecule: ribosomal RNA, 497 nt
Filed under: uncultured bacterium
Lineage: Bacteria
Description: partial 16S ribosomal RNA
Rfam family: Bacterial small subunit ribosomal RNA
Source: RNAcentral
GAUGAACGCUGGCGGCGUGCCUAAUACAUGCAAGUCGAGCGAACGGACGAGAAGCUUGCUUCUCUGAUGUUAGCGGCGGACGGGUGAGUAACACGUGGAUAACCUACCUAUAAGACUGGGAUAACUUCGGGAAACCGGAGCUAAUACCGGAUGAUAUUUUGAACCGCAUGGUUCCAAAGUGAAAGACGGUCCUGCUGUCACUUAUAGCUGGAUCCGCGCUGCAUUAGCUAGUUGGUAAGGUCACGGCUUACCAAGGCAACGAUGCAUAGCCGACCUGAGAGGGUGAGUGGCCACACUGGAAGGGUGACAGGGCACAGUCUGCCAGGGGAGGCGGCAGGAGGGAAACGGCCGGAAGGGGCGAAAAAUUGUCGGAGCAACGCCGCGGCAGGGAUGAGGGUCGCCGGAUCGGAAAACUCUGUUAUUAGGGAGGAACAUUUGUGUAAGUAACAGUGCACAUCUGUACGGUUACUAGUCAGAAAGGCACGGGUAACUAACGG